CUUCUUCAUCUUGUGCCGCCUUCUUGAGAUCCCCUACUCCCUGGACCUGUUUAGGUCAUUCUUUCAGAUGAAGGUCAGUGGACCAGUUCACGGUUGGUUCUACUUCGCUCGUAGGAGCGGGGGAGAGCUCCCGACCCGUGAGCUGUUCACGCAAGCCUCUUCCUCCAUUAAGGGCUGGAAGGCUCAGUUCUUCUACGUGAAGAACACAGGCUUUCCUCCUUGACCUGGAGGGAGGAGACCCAGGUAUCCGACCCUACUCCUUCACCUCUGCCAACGGUCGAGCUAGACCGCCUGGUUAGCUCGGGAGCUAGGUUGAAGGUGAAGGAAUUCAACAACGCCCGAACUCUGGUCUGCGGGGCUGAUUCAGGCAGAGGUGAACGACCCUGCCCCCGAUCUCCGACCUCUCACCUCCGAGGAGCUGGCAACUCGUAAAUUCUUGUUCUCAUCUCCUUUCUUCUUUUUCUGCGAGCUCGACUAUGUUAUUUGCACUGACUUUUUUUCUUCGUCUUGUAGUGAAUAGAUUCUCCCAACUACUGAAUAUAGGGGGAACAGGCAGCUCUAGCAUACCUGCCACCGUACCGCCUGCUGCACCGGACAGCUCGGGCCUUGCCGCUCCCCCUCCUGCUCCAGCCCCCCAGGCCCCUGCUCAGUCCUCUCUUACUGAGGGGGCCAAGAAGAAGAGGAAGAAAUCCACGGCCAAGAGAGCCUGAACCGAGAUCAUCUCUUCCCCUGCCCAAGCGCUGCAACCAACGUCCACUGAUGCCCCCUGGAGCACUAUGGGGUAAACUCAGUCGAGCAGCAGGCCUCGUCAGAGUCACCGCCUGCUAUGUGGCGCCAGAGGAACGUGAUUCCUUUGAAGCCUCCCUCCCAGCUGAGUGCCCAUCCGUGACCUCGUGUCAGCCCGAACGUGAUCAAGUCAGUAGAGUUUAAGAGUAGGACAACAAUAGAGAGUACUGUGGAUGGCGUACCUUGUAUUGUCGUGUGAUGCGGUAUUUAUAUGCUUCAGGGUAGUGGUUUCCAUAUAGGAGUAAGAGUCCCCUUAGGGUUCGGAGUCCUUCUAGGGUUUCGUAUGACAACCCCUAAAGGUUCGGAGGCGGCGGCCCACUAGACCCACUCUAGGGAGAGGCGGCGGUAGUGGCCGAGCUGACCUCCCUCUAAAUCGAGCUGAGGCGUCUGAGCUGGGAGACCUCUAUUGCUGACCUCAUGUGUGCUAGAGCCGAGUUGACACGUAUCACAUGUGGAUUGGCCCUACUACACUAUCCCCCUUUGAAUCUAGAGUCACCGAGAGGUCGAGUGAGUCUGGACCAAAUUACGAGGCGUCGGGUCGGUUCGGCGUAGGGUCCACGAUCCCAUAGCUAUGCCUCUUGUUCGAAUAACUGCCACGUCUACUGUCGUAACUGUCGCUUCAAAGGUCAUGUCCUCUUGCAAUGGCGGUUAUCAGCUCAACCGUCUUCCAAGGUGACAGUUUCUUAGCAAUAAAUUUGAAAUUUCAAUUCGGGACUCUUCGUCUUCCCGUCCAGAUAGCCUAUAAAUAGACCCCAUCAAACGUUACUUUCAAGCUUCAUUCCUCACUUUUUCUCCUUCUAAAUCUCCAUCAGCUCGCUCCGCGCUUAGUGAGUUCGUCAGAGAGUAGCAUCUCCUUCUAAGCACCUACCAGCUCUUCUCCCUUAUCCGCUAGUAAGUCUUCUUUCUCUUUUAUGUCUUCCUCUUCCACACACUCAGACUUCAAUAGCUCGACACCUAGGCGUAGAGUAGUCCGACCUGCCCCCAUAGAUAUAAUCUCUUCUUCUUCUAGCUCCUCAUCCUCUAGUUCAUCUGGGUUUGAGUACUACCUUUCCCAAUACAUUCUCCAACCCACAACAUGGACCAACUGGACCAACCUGCCCAACCUGACACUGGAGCUGCUGCCCCAGUAAUUCCACUGGAAGCAGUCCUAGGUCGCGCCAGGGCAGGUCUCUCUAGGGGGCCUGACAUCGACUUCGGGGAAGUCGAGAUCAUCCCCCCCUCUUGGACCAAGAGGACAAAAACGAGUUGGUGGGGAAGUAUGAUAUUCCUUCCCAGUUCUAGGCUAGGGCUGCCCGGCCAGGGGAGUACGCGUGUCGACCUCCUCCUGAGUCUGUGGCCAUAUAUAGAGAUCAGCUCGUAGCCGCCCUCCGUCUCUCAAUUCCUCACUUCCUCUACGAAAUCCUGACCUUCUGGGGAAUUCGAAUAAUCCAGCUCGUCCCCAAUGCAGUCAGAUCGAUACUAGGUUUCUUCAUCUUGUGCCGCCUUCUUGAGAUCCCCUACUCCCUGGACCUGUUUAGGUCAUUCUUUCAGAUGAAGGUCAGUGGACCAGUUCACGGUUGGUUCUACUUAACUCGUAGGAGCGGGGGAGAGCUCUCGACCCGUGAGCUGUUCACGCAAGCCCCUUCCUCCAUUAGGGGCUGGAAGGCUCAGUUCUUUUACGUGAAGAACACAGGCUUUCCUCCUUGACCUGGAGGGAGGAGACCCAAGUAUCCGACCAUAUUCCUUCACCUCUGCCAACGGUCGAGCUAGAUCGCCUGGUUAGCUCGGGAGCUAGGUUGAAGGUGAAGGAAUUUAACAACACCCGAACUCUGGUCUGCGGGGCUGAUUCAGGCAGAGGUGAACGACCCUACCCCGAUCUCCGACCUCUCACAUCCGAGGAGCUGGCAACUCGUAAAUUCUUGAUCUCAUCAUCCUUUCUUCUUUUUCUGCGAGCUCGACUAUGUUAUUUGUGCUGACUUUUUUUCUUCGUCUUGUAGUGAAUAGAUUCUCCCAACUACUGAAUAUAGGGGGAACAGGCAGCUCUAGUAUACCUGCCACCGUACCGCCUGCUGCGCCGGACAGCUCGGGCCUUGCCGCUCCCCCUCCUGCUCCAGCCCCCCAGGCCCCUGCUCAGUCCUCUCUUACUGAGGGGGCCAAGAAGAAGAGGAAGAAAUCCACGGCCAAGAGAGCUCGAAUCGAGAUCAUCUCUUCCCCUGCCCAAGCGUUGCAACCAACGUCCACUGAUGCCUCCUGGAGCACUAUGGGGUAAACUCAGUCGAGCAGCAGGCCUCGUCAGAGUCACCGCCUGCUAUGUGGCGCCAGGGGAACGUGAUUCUUUUGAAGCCUCCCUCCCAGCUGAGUGCCCAUCCGCACCCCCUACAUUUUUGCCCUAAAUGGGGGUUAUCGGUGAAUGACCGAACUCAAUUUUCGGAAGCAGCUCGAGAGCUCCUCAGGGGCACAAUGCUCCCGCGCGAUCAUCACUACAUUCGACUUGCGUCCAACUCCGAACUGCUGGAGCACUACUACCUUAGCGCGGCUCAGGUAACUCCUCAACUAGCGGCAUUUUAUUGGUAUUUCCUUGACCUAUUGAUCCUCACCUUGAGUUUAACUGGCAUCUUAACGUGGCUGGUGCUGAGCUGUCACAGAGGUAUGAAAACAUGGGAGAGAAUCUCUCCCAAGCUGAUGCGGCCAAGGACAGGCUGUCCAGUCAGCUUUAGGCAGCUGAAACAGAGCUGGAAUCCUUGAAGAAGCAGCUCGCCGAAACCUAGUCUGCCUGCGAGUUGGAGAAGAAAAGGGCAGCGAAACUGACCUCGCAGCUAGAUACUGAGUAGAGGAAAUUUGCUGAGCUACCUGGUCAGAUCGAAGCUGCUCGUGAGGAAGGUCGCCAACUCGGCAUCAAGGACUUCAAAAAAUCUGAGGGCUUCCUGAAAGACCUGGCCCUCCUCAACGGGCCAAUCCUGCAAGUGGGGUAUGCUCAGGCAAUGCACGACGUGCAGUCCCUGAACCUGCUUGAGUUUGACUUGGGCAGGUAGCCUGAAUACAACUCUCAAGCCAUCCACCAAAUCGAUAGGCUCGUGGAGGGCUAUGUGCAUGGGUGCGACCUGACCAUCCUGAUCGCCGACCCUACUUUGGCCGCGACCUCUCCUGAGCUCGAGUAGGAGCAGCAGGGGGAAAAUUAGGGAGCGCUUAGCAUAGGCGUAGAUAGGGAUUAGAGCAGGGUAGGAACUGAACUGGCCAACUCGUUUUUGUAUGGCCCCCCUUAUGUACAUAUCUUUUUGAAAUGGAAUAGAUGGUCUUUUCAUCAAACACUUAGUAAAAAUUAUUUAUUUCUUCAUAGGAUUUUGAAUACAUUCUUACGACUCCAAGUAUCGAGCUAUCAAAAUGCCGAGCUGACCUCUUCAGCUGUUACUAAGUAAAAGACUACCUAGUUCACACUCUCCAGCUCGGGCAGAGCUCUAACGAAAGAGCCUUAAAUUUGAAUUGUGCCAGGUGCGCGGGACUUCAUCCCCAUUGAGAUGAGCUAGCUUACAGUACCUCGCACGAUCAGUUUCUUUCACCACGUAGGGACCCCUCCCAAUUUGGAUCUAACUUGCCCGUGCCCCCAACUCGACUUACGGAGUUUCUGCGUAAUACAGAUCCCUCGGUCUGAAGGAGAGGUGCCUGACUCUAGCGUUGUAGUACCGCGCGACCUGACCCUUGUAUUUAGCCAUUCUUAUGCACGUUUCUUCCUUACGGUGCUUGAGCAGGUCUAAGUUGAACCGCAUCUCCUUCUCAUUAUUCUGGGCCACAAAAUGUUGCACCCUGCUUGAGGGUACUCCGAUUGCUGCCGGGAUUACUGCUUCAAUCUCAUAUGUCAGGACGAACGGGGUUUCCAGGGUGGCUGUCCGAGGUGUAGUCCGGUAAGCCCACAGUAUGGUGGGCAGCCCAUCCAACCACCCUGUUCGAACAGAUUCUAUUCGUGUCUUCAACCCGUGCAGGUUGGUUCUAUUAGCAUUCUCGACCUGUCCAUUAGAUUGUGGGUGCCCCACGGAAGUGAAGUGCUGCUAGAUGCCGAGCUCAGAGCACCACUUCUGGAAGAAACUGUCCACGAACUGUCGGUCAUUAUCUGAGACUAGGAUCCGGGGUAUGCCAAAUCGACAGAUUAUGUUCUUCCAAAGGAAUUUCUGAAUCAACCUGCUAUUGAUUGUGCUAAGUGGUUCGGCCUCUAUCCUUUUAGUAAAGUAGUCAACAGCUACCACAAGAUGCUCAUAACCUCUUGGAGCUCGGGAAAAUGGGCCUAGCAGGUCAAUCCCCCGUUGGAAGAACGGCCACGGGAUAUGGAGAGGAAUCAUCUCGAGUUGGGCAUGGUGAAUUGGUGCGUGCAACUGACAAGACUUACAUCUGGCAUUCUGGCCACCAGCUUAGCUGAGUCUCGGAAGAUGGUGGGUCAAUAGUAUCCAGAUAACAUUUCCUUCUUGGCCAAUACCCUUGGUUCGACGUGAUUACCACAGAUGCCCUCAUGCAACUCGCGCAAGACAUGCUCCCCUCCUCUGGCGUUACUUACUUUAGCCAUGGCUGCAAGUAGGAUUUUAUAUAUAGUACUCCCUGCGUGAGCAUGUACUUCUGUGACUUGAGAAAGAUUUUGCGGGCCUCUGUCCUGCUCGGGGGAGCUCUCUAUGAUCUAGGUAUUGGACAAUGGGGUCCAUCCAAGAGCUCAUCACCUGAAUGACUGUGGCGUUUAACUGCUCAUACGCCCGACUUUUAACGACCUCCACCCAUAUCUCUCGAUUUAGAGUGCUAAACGAGGUAGAUGCCAGCUUGGACAGGGCAUCAGCUCUCUUGUUUUGGUUUCGUGGGAUCUGCUCGAGAAUGAACUGCUUGAACUGGUCCCUUAAUUCAUGUGUUUUGGCAACGUACUUCCUCAGUGGCCCCUCUAUAACCUCGUAGCUCCCCCAUACUUGGUUCACUAUCAGCUGCGAAUCGCUGUAGACUUUUAUUGAUUCAGCCCCUAAUUUUCGAGCUAUCUCCAUCCCCGCAAUCAGGGCCUUAUACUCAGAUUCAUUAUUAGAGGUUCUAAAAUCGAAUCUCAAGGCGUAGGCCAGUUCUUCUCCUGUUGGGCUGAUUAGAAGAAGACCUGCUCCACAUCCUUCCUUGCUUGAUGCACCGUCAACGUACAGCGUCCAGACUGGACCUGUUCGUCCUGCAGCCUCUAUAGCCUUUCUGGUUUGAGCAGUCCAUCUGGCCAGCUCGGCCUUGACUGCUCCUCCAGAAUGCGCGAUCUCGGCAGCUUCUCUGGCCUGUCCGACCUUAGUAGCCUCUCUGACCUGCUUGGCCUCAGCAGCUUCUUGGGUCUGCCUGGUCUCAGUUACUUCUCUGGCCUGUUCGACCUCAGCAGUCUUUCUGGUCUGUCCGACUUUAGUUGCCUCUCUGGCCUGCUCGGCCUCAGUAGCUUCUCGGGUCUGCCUGGCCUUAGCUACUUCUCUGGCCUGUUCUGUUUGGCCUCAACUGCUUUUCCGACCUGUUCGACCUCUGCUAUCUUAUUGGCCUGGGCGACCCUGGCAGUGUCUUUAACCUGCAAGAUCUCAACUGCCUUUUGGGUCUGUGUGGUCUUGGUAGUUUCUUGGACCUGUAAGGCUUUGGCUGCUCGUCUGGUGCGUGCGUUCUCAGCAGUUUCUUUGACUUUCCCGGCCUUACUUGCUUCCUUGGUUUGGUCAACCUUAGUCCCGGGAAAUCCAAAGAAAACGCAUUCUACUAUGAAGUCUGCCAAGACUUGGGAUUUGAUGGCCGUCCUCGGCUGGUAUCCGAGAUCGUACUCUGACAGCUCUACGUCCCAUUUCACCAUUCAUUCCGAGACAUCGGGUUUAGAGAGGAUCUGUUUCAGGGGUUGGUCCGUCACCACUAUUAUGGGAUGAGCUUGGAAGCACGACCUGAGCUUCCGAACUGCAUGAACUAAUGUCAAGACAUAUCAUUCUACCGUCGAAUACCUCACUUCGGCCCCCUGUAGGGCGCGACUAACAUAGUAUACAGGUUUUUGGACUUUGUUUUCCUCUUGUACCAGCACCGCGCUAACGGCCUCCUCCCCCACAGUUAAAUAGAUGAACAGGGUUUCACCAUGCUCUGGAGAAGUUAGGGCCGGCAACCGAGUAAGGUGGGUUUUUAGCUCAUCGAACGCUUUUUGGCACUCCGAUCUCCACUCGAAUUGCGAACCUCCUCUUAGAGCUUUAAAGAAAUGGGAGUCCCAAACUGCUGAUUUAGACAAGAACCUGUCCAAAACCGCCAUCCUUCCAGUCAGGCGCUGUACCUUCUUAACAUUUCGAUGAGGAGCCAUGUCUAUGAUGGCCUUGAUUUUGUCCAGGUUAGCUCUUACCACUUCUUUGGAAAUCAUGUAACCUAAAAAUUUUCUCGACCUAACCCCAAAGGUACAUUUCUUAGGGUUUAGCCGCAUCCAUGAGCUCCGAAGGACAUCGAAGAUUUCCCUAAGAUUAGCAAUGAACUGUUCUUGAGUCCGACUCUUCACCAACAUGUCAUCCACGUAGACCUCCAUAUUUCGACCGAUCUGAUCCUUAAACAAUCUAUUGACCAGCGUCUGGUAGGUCGCGCCUGCAUUCUUUAGCCCAAACGGCAUGGUGACAUAACAGUCAGUUUCGUUCUCAGUCAUAAACGAGGUCUUUUCCUGAUUCUCCUCAUCCAGUGUUAUUUGAUGAUACCCUUUGAAGGCGUCCAAAAAAUAAAAAAUCUCAUAUUCCGAGGUUGAAUCCACAAGCUGAUCAAUUUGCCGGAGGGGGUAGCAGUCCUUUGGGCAGACCUUAUUUAAGUUAGUGAAGUCCACGCACAUCCUCCAAACUCUUUCUUCCUUCUUGACCAGCACCGGAUUGGCCAGCCAUGUCGGGUAAUAGACAUCUUUCACGAUCUUGGUUUCUAACAGCUUGCCUACCUCACUUUUGACGGCCUCGUUUCGUUCAGGCGCAAAGUUCCUCUAUUUCUGUUUUACUGGUCGGACGUUGGGGUCCACGUAUAGCUUGUGAACCGCUAGCUCGGUGGGGAUUCCAAGCAUGUCAUCAGCACUUCAAGCAAAUAUUUUCGCAUAUUCUUCUAAAAGGGAUUCUAUAGAGUUCUGGGUCAACUCGCUGAGGCAGGUGCCGACCUUAACCGUACACUCAGGUCGGUUUGGGCGGACGGGCAGCUCAACCAGCCCCUUAUCCGUCUCCAGUCUCUCUCUUUUCUCCAUGGGCUCCCAGGGCUCCAAACAAGUUGUUUGAACUACCAAUUUUUCCUUGCCAUUGAGAGUUGCAAUAUAACAGGCUCUAGCCACCUCCGGAUCUUCGAGCACUUCAACUACCCCAAUAGGGGUAGGAAAUUUCAUGCUGAGGUGCAAGGUGGAGCAGACAGCCCAGAGGACGUUCAGGGUGGGUGGUCCCAGAAUCAUAUUGUACGAUGAGGGCCCUCUUACCACCGUGAAAUUCACUGGCACAGUUCGACACUUUGGUGACACCCCCACCAUGACCAUGAGAGUUAUCAUUCCCUUCGGCCUCACCGGAGGACCAACAAAUCUGAUCAAUGGAGUUCAGACUGAGAUGAGCUGUCUGUCCUCCAGCUACAGCUCUUUAAAGGUCUUGUAGUACAGCACAUCGAUGGCACUGCCAUUAUCAAUGUAUACCUUCUUCACUUUGUAGUUGCAGGUUGUGAGAACCCAUAAAUUUCUCUUAAUAAUUUUCUUAGGGUUUAUCCCCUUUAAUGGCAUGUUUUCUGCAUUUUCUGGUUUAGGAAAAAUUUUUCUGGUGAAUUUUAUGAGUAAUUAUGUUUUUAGAUGAUUUUUUAGUAUUGGAGAGUUUUUGAAAAACUAAGGAUAUAUAACGGAUGUGGGAUCCACUAGUGCGAAAAGUUCGGAAAAAUUCGGUCAAUUAGGUUAAGUUUCGGAUACUGGUUGAAAUUUAUCGGGUGUUAAGAGAUAAGUAGAGGUUGAGAUGUGAUUGAUGUGAGAGAGACUUAAAGGAUAGAAAUGCUUUAAAUAUAGUGACAAGUGUCACUUGGUGAAUGGUGGCACUUGUAGGACAACUAUUCAUUUUCUUGACUUUUUGACCAAUUGCUUAAAUAUCUCAAAAAUCACACAAAAUUCAUUCUUGUCUUCAACUUCUUGGCCGGCUCUCUCUCUAGGAAAAGAAAGAAAACUUCUCCAAUUUUCAAGCUUCCAACUAACUCAAAUCCUCCAAAACAAUUGCUUAAAUUUGUUUCUACUCCAUAAAAUCCCUCCAUUUGGUGCUAGUAAGUGAUUUUGUGGAAGUGUUCAAGGAAGCUAAGGUGUCCUACAACUCUCCCUCUCUUGUGUUCUAGGUAAGUGGUGUUUGAACUUCCUCCUACACUUAAUGAAGCUUGAGUUGUGCUUAGUGGAAGCUAAAGUGAUGACCUUUGUGAUUUAUUUCUUGCUUUUGGAUGAAAUGAUGAAGUUUUCAAUUUAAUGGUGAUUUUUCUGGUUUAAUUUGAUCAUGAGGUUGUGGCUGUCCAUGAUGGUUGGAAAUGAUGUUUUAUGACUCUAUUAGAUGUAAAUGAUUGGUAAUUGUAACCAAUUUUGGAUUUGGAAGGAAACGUGAGAAGUUAGGGUUUCAUAACCCCAUUUUCUGUCCGAUUUUGUAUCAUAUGGUUAGAGGUGAAUUGGCCUUUGCUUAAAACAUAAAAGUUAUAGGUAUUGAUGUGUUUGAGGUGCCUGUAAAAUUUCAGGUCAUUUGGAGUAGUGUAGAGUGAGAAAUGUCGAAAUUACUAUUGCUGUUCUGGGUUCAUCAGGAUGGCAGAACUGCGCCUGUAAUUGGCUGUGUUGACUGGAAUUGCUUUGGAUUUGGUUGUUGAGGCCUUCUGAUGAAAUGUAGCUUGAUGUCUUAGCUACCGCAUGCCUUUGGAAUCAAUGAAUUUGGACUUGUAUAGACUGAGUUGGACUAAUUACAGCAUAGUGUAAUUUGUAAACCUGCAAUUAAGGUUCUGGUUUGGUAUCUUGCAUAUUUGACCUGGUUGUGAUAGGAAUUGGACUGAGUGACCUUCUACAUUGUUGUAGCCCUGGUUCUUAGCUUCAAAACGGUGGAUCUUACACCCUCAUCUGAUAAUCGUAGUGAAAUUGGUACCAUUACCGCAAAAUGAGGAUAAAAACUAUUUUUUUUUCAGGACCAAAGUUAAUUGCAUUUCCGGAUUUUCUGGUUACCUAUGAUACUUGUAUAUGCAUAUGAAACCCUAUUGGGGUUGUGAUUGGCAUUGCUUUAUGACUCGUUAUCGAGUCUCAUUGUACUUGUUUACGUGUUCUAGGGCGUGACGGUGGUUCACGACAUUCUCUUGACGGAAGUGCAUGAAACAACACUUAAUUGAUAAGUGAGUAUACUACUCACUUGAAUGUUACAAUGUGGCUUUGCUAUAUGUGAUUUUGAUGCCUUGAAAGCUUAUUUGGCUAUUGGAAUUGAUUGAGGUGAGGGUGUACUUGACCGUCCUCAUCCCUUGUGAUACCGUUAAUGACUGUUUACCGCUUCACUGAUAUACUGCACUUGCUAUAUGAGAUAUUGAAUUCACUUCAUGAAAAACUGAUUUGAUGUCGUUUGGACGAGUAUCCAACGGCCUUACUGUACUACUGACCUCAACCUCGUUGGUAGUCAAUUGAAUCGAGCCGGCGAGGGCUUGGUCGUGAAAAUUGACAUGCCACGGGGACUGUAUUGGGGAAUCUUGUAGUAUUGAAACUCUUGAUUUCGGUAAACUCGAGUAUUACCAAAAGCUACUGAUUGGAGUGCGGGCCUGGUUGGGGUAUGUUUGGUGGAAGGGAUGGGAGUGAAGUGGGUUCUACGGUUGGUACUCUUAAACGUUGACGGAGAAUCAAUGAGAUUGGAUCAAGAAUGUAAGCGUGGAAAUGGGCUCUUGAGAGCCGUCCGUAUCCUUUUACCGACUUGUUUUACUCUGUAAUUGUGUACUUGAAAUGAAAGGUUAUGCUAUAUGCUCUUUGUUGCUUAUGUGGUAGUAACUCACUGAAUUUAAGCUCAUUCCGUUCCAUUUGUUUUUCUUAUAGGAAAUGACCACUUUUGGAAAAGGUUGUGUUAGUUGGUUGUCAAGUUGAGCUUAUGUAAAUGUCUUUUGAAUAGCUCUUUGAAUGAAACCCUAAUGUGCAUUGGGUUCAUUCUCUUUUGAUUGGCAAACCGAACAUGUAUAUCCAUGAUGAAUCGUUUUGAUAUGCCGCUUUGGUUUGUAAAUGUUACAUUUCAAUGUAUGUAUGUUUGGUUGAUAUUUGGUUGGAUUUCGGAUCAACUCGUAUUUCAAACGGCAAAAGAAAAAUUUGGCUACUCUCGGCCUAGUAUCCGGAGUCGGACGUGGCCGGUACAGUUCAUCAUCGGUUUCGAUUUUUUUCAUUUUUUUUAUUUUGUGAUUUUGACUUGGUUGCGCGCAUUGGUAAGUUCCGGAACGUAUUAGAUCGACGUAAACUGAUCCGUUAGUCCUGGCGAGAGUUGGGCAGGCAGUCCGCUAACCCCUUUGGUUCGCCUUAGGGGAAGGUGGGGCUGUUACACAGGUAAUGACCUCUAUCACGAUGGUUUCGUGGUUAUUAGAGGCCAGAGGGACUGCAUCUUCAGGUCCAUAAAUGAUUUUCUCGUACAUCUUUAAUCGUUUGCUUGAACUCUCCCCAUUGGGAGGAGGGCGGUUGUGACGCUGAGCUGUAUGGCUAUCCCCUCCAACCGGUUCUCCCGCAAUAGUAUUGAUCACCCCGGCCAGAUUCUGACCCUCCUGCUCGAGAGUUCGGCCACGGGGCCCCUGAGAUCCGUCACGGGAGUAGCUCAGGUGCUCUGGUUUGGGCCUUCCCCGUCGCUGGUCAGUUCGCUCAUUACGUAUGAACUACCCGAGGUGGCCCAGUCUGAUCAACUUUUUAAUGUCUUUUUUGAGGUGGCGACAAUCCUCCGUAUCGUGUCCCACAUCUCGGUGAUACGCACAAUACAAACCCUGAUCCCGCCUGCUCUUGUCCCCGAUCAAGGGUCGGGGAGGUCGAGAGAGUUCUUCUUGUUUCAUCACAGCGAGUACCCGAGUUCGAGGUGCAGUAAGGGCAGUCCAGAACUUAUCUCCUCCCAUGGGGCGACUCCUGGGCAGGCGAUCGUAGGCGUUCUUCCGUUCCUGGCUGUGUCGCGCGUCCAUCUGGUCAGUGUUCCUUCUGCGCUUAUCAUCCCUUAACUUUUCCUGCGCGCUUUUCAGGCGAUUGGCCUCCUCCGUGUUGGCUUUUUCAUGAGCUCGGUCCAGCAUCUCGCGCACUGACUUGGGAGGUCUUUCCACGAGCUUGGUGUAGAGCUUCUGUUUUCGCAGCCCGUUGAUGAAUGCGGCCAUGACCACCUUGUCAUCCUGAUCGCGGAUCUGGAGGGACUCAUUAUUGAAACGUACCAUGAACUCGCGCAAGGAUUCUUCAGGUUUCUGCUGGAUGGUCAUCAGGUGAGCAGUGCUUUUGGAGAAGGCUCGCGACGAAACGAACUGUGCUGAGAAUAAUCGUGCGAGUUGGGCGAAGGAUCGGAUAGACCUGGGGGGAAGCCCCUGGAACCAUUGACGUGCCUUUCCCUCCAGGAACAUUGGAAAAGUCUUGCACCUGACCGCAUCCGCGGCCAUUUGCAAGCGCAUUUGCCUCAUGAAGGCGAACAGGUAAUCCUCCGGAUCCGUGGUUGCAUCAUAAGAUUUCGUGCUCGGUAUUUUGAAUUUCGCGGGCAACGGGUAGUCCUCAAUAUCAGGUACAAAGGAGGAAGCAAUAUACCUAUCUGCCUCAGGAUCCAACAGCAAGUCCAACUUGUUCUGCACCUGGUGCUGCUCUCUUCGCGGGGAGAGCUCUCCCCUGGAGUACCUCCGGAAGGGCUUCGGAUGCUUGGUUCGGUAGUGCUUGUGGGAUGACUCCAUAACUUCGAUCUAUUCACACGUGAGCUCCUGGCGCAUCCGCUUGGGCCGGGGGUUGGGUUCCCUGUUCGGGAUUCUGUCAGGCCAACUCCUUCCACCCCUUGGACCUUAGGCUCCUGGUCAUGAUGACCUCCCGUCCGCCCUUUGAGGUAGUCCAUGAUUGCCUCGAAAGUAGGUAGAUUUUUCGCCACCGUUUGAACUAACUGUUCAGGUAGGAUUUGUGACGGUCCCGUUCCCUCAUCUCUAGGAGUCGAACCCCGAGUGGGGUUUUAGGGGCCACUUUUCUGGUUCUCCUUAGAUCCGUCAGCGUUCAUCUGAAAUCUAGUUCUUGGCAUGAUUCGCAAGAAAAGAACUACGUGUUUCCCAAGAACACAGUCUGAGCUGAGUUGCUGCAGAUCGAGCUGGUUGGGAGCUGCCUAGCUGAGAGGGGAAUGCCGAGCUGAAUAUUAUGCGAAGAAAGAACGAAGGCGGGACUAGAGUCUCCGGAAUAGCUCCGACGAUCAAAUCAGUAGAGUUUAAAAGUAGGACAACAGUAAAGAGUACUGUGGAUGGCGUACCUUGUAUUGUCGUGUGGUGCCAUAUUUAUAGGUUUCAGGGUAGUAGUUUCCUAUAGGAGUAGGAGUCCCCUUAGGGUUCGGAGUCCUUUUAGGGUUUCGUAUGACAAUCCCUAAAGGUUCGGAGGCGGCGGCCCACUAGACCCACUCUAGGGAGAGGCGGCAGCAGUGGCCGGGCUGACCUCUCUCUAAACCGAACUGAGGCGUCCGAGAUGGGAGACCUCUAUUGCCGACCUCGCGUGUGCCAGAGUGUCACAUGUGGAUUGCACCCACUACAGUGUGCUUUUUUUUUUUUUUUUAUCUUUUUUCAUAUUUUUUUUAUAUGCUUUAAGGUCUAGAUAAGAUAUAAAUUAGAUAAUAGUGCUCUUUUGAGUUUCUAAUCUUUUUUAAAUGUAACUAUUAUAAAUAAUUCAUUUAUUAUUAUCAUCAUCAUCAUCGUCAUCUUAGAUAUAAACUGUGCAUAACACGGGUCAGAUUACUAGUUUUAUAUGUACUCUAGAAGGAUAUUUCGAUACCUAAUUCAUUGAAAAAAAUAUUUUACUUACGUUAUAAAUAUAUCUCUUAAUUAUAUUUUAAAAUUUAAAUUAUCUUUUUAUUUCACAUAAUUACAUACAUCUAUAAUGUUGUAAUAAUUUUUUUUUUCUAAGUGAUGAGCUAUACAAACACCUUAUGCUAAUAGAAGUUGGCAACGACGAGCCACUUUCCUAUAAAAAAGUCACGUGUCAUUGAUGGACGAUUUGUAACCGUUGCCUAUGUCAAAAACGUGUUGGUGAGUGAUGUGUGUCCUAGCUGGAUAAUUUGUAACUACUGUUACUGAUGUCAAAUUUUGUAUCCUCACUGGAUGAUCUGUAAUUGCUGGUGCCGAUGUUAGAAUUUUGUUGAUGAGCGAUCUGUAUCCUUACUGAACAAUUCUGUAACUGCUGGUACUGAUGUCAGAGUUACGUCGGUGAGUAAUCUGUAUAAAUUCACCUAUAGUCCAAGAGGUAUGUUUGACUAGUAAGAGUAACCGAAAUCGAAUCCGAAUCCGUCUAAAACAUUUUUUUACCAAAAAAUAAAUAAAUAAAACAAAAACCAUCAUGUUUUAAACGAUGUCAGAGCUGCUGUGUUGAUGACUAUAAAUCUAUAUAUGAUCCUAGAGGUAUGCCCCGAAAUCGAAUCCGAAUCCCUCUAAAUUUUUUUUUUUUUUAACAAAUAAAAAACACGAACACCUAUGUUUGAAAGGAAAUGUGUGGAACUUGGGAGUGGAAAUUAAAGAGAGAUUGGAAAAGCCUCUGGGCUUUGACUCAUAGAGACUCCUCGUCACCGUGCACAGCAGUAAAGUUCCUUUCUUUCCCUCCAAGCAUCCGGCGUCUCUCAAUUCUCCAGACCGACGCGAGAGAUGGGCGGCCAGGAUAAACCCCCAGGACCCGGACUCGAACCCGACAUACAGCCAUUACUGAACGCCUCCAAAUACUUCCUCUGUCACCGGAGCUUUUCCCAGAGCUUGAAAUACGCGGACAAAGCCCAACAAUCCAAUCCAAACCACCCUGGUCCGCCCCAAAUCCUCGCUAUAUCCACUGUUCUCUCGGCCACUCCGUCCUCGACCCGACCCGAACAGCCAGAAUGGUACUUAAUCAUCAACCUCCCUCGUUUUACUCAAGACCAGAAUCUGAUUCGGACCCGUUGUGCUUCGCUCGUCAACCUCUUAAACCCUGACACAAACCCUUACCCAUUUGCAGCCGAAGCCCGUGAUUGGGUUGUCAAAGCAGAAUCUGUUUUGUUUGACCCGGACGCGAAAGCCCAGUAUGAUAACGGAUUGAAAAUGACGCAAAAAAAUAGUGGAAAUGGCGGCGGAACUUUUUGGACUUUGUGUCCGUACUGUUACUUUAUGUAUGAGUACGAGAAAAUGUAUGUGGAUUGUGUCCUGAGGUGUCAGAAUUCCAAAUGCAGGAGGGCUUUCACGGCGGUGGCGGUUGCUGCUUCAGCCGCGCCGCCACCGGAGUUGGUGGAGGAAGGAAAGUACACCUGUUAUGGGUUUUCGCCGCUGGGUCCUAACAAUGGAAGUGGUGGUGACUCUGGUGAAGAGAGAGGGAAAAGUUGGUGGGCUCCAUUUGUAUCCAUGGGUCAAUAUCCGGGUCCAGUUCGGGCCAAUGAGGAAAAGGUGGAUGUGAGGACUAAUGUGGACUCAAAGAGUGAAAAGAGUAAUGGGUUUAUUGAAAUUUCCGAUGAUGAAACUGCAGGUAGAGAGAAAAUUGAAAGAGGGGGACAGGGAAACGGUGUUAAUAAUGGGAAGGUGGUGAUGAAGAGGAAAAAAAUGGCUGCUAUAGGGAAGAAGAAAUUGAUGGGAAAAGGGAUUAGAGUUGUUGGGAACCAUAGUUUAUCAGCGGAGGGUGGUGAAGGAAUAGGAUUUAAAGCUGGAGGGAACGAAGCAAAUGCGAAUACAAGUCCAGGGAAUGAAGCAAAUGCAAAUACAAGUGGAGGGGUAACGGAAGGCUGUAAUGAGGAGGAAUUGGAGUUUUGUGCUGGAGAUGAUGAUAUUUUUGUUGCUGUGAAUCCUUGGGCUGAUUUAGGAUGUGAAAAGCUUAGGAAUUGAUGAGAGAUGAGUUGGGGAUUUUGAACUCUGUUUAUAUGCACUGUUUUGCUAGCUGGGAGCCUUGGACAUGAUGGUGUACUAAAUGGCCAGUAAAGUUUUGUAACUGGUAGAAUCAUGUUGAUAAUCAUUAGAACUGGUAGAAGUGAAGAAGUAAUCCUGAAUAUGGUUCUUGAUAUCUUUGUGUGGCUGUCAUGUGGAUUCUUUUGCCGGUAGUAUUUGAUGUUUUGAAACAGUUAUAUGGCCAAUAGUAUGCUUGGUUUUAUCCAAAAGUAAGUUGGAAAAAAAAACAGAGAAAUGGAUCAUAUGAUUGGUUAUCUUUUUGUUUAUAGUUUGUUAUUGGCAUACGAGUAUUAAGUCAUAAGCAAGGAAACAAGAUUAAAAUAUUCUAGGUGCUUUAAUUUGAUUGCUGGGUUUUGGAUCUGCUCUGCUUUGCCGUCCAACUUCCCUAACAUUUCCCGCCAAUAUUUCUUCAGCAAUCAAAUUGGAUCUGAAUCUGCUCUGUUUUAAAGUCCAAUUUUUCUUAUAUUUCCUGUCAAUUUUUAUACUAUUCUAGCUGCUUUAGUUAGAUUGCUGGGUUUUGAUCUGCUCUGCUUUAGUGUCUAAUUUUCUUACGUUUCCUGUCAAUAUUUUAGAUUUUCUUUACCUUUGCCUUUUUCUUUGCUGAAUUGCAUUGUUUAUGUUUCUGGUCAUCCUUUUAGUGCUGAUGCUGAGGAUCUUUAAUGUCUGAAAAUCUUAGCCUAAAUUUCUCUAAAUUGGACAAGUCUGAAUGUUGGUGUAGCUGUAUAUCUAGGAUGCUAAAUUGAUGGGGAUUUGACUUGUCAAGUUGAGAAAAGAGGACAUGAACUCUUAAAACUGUCGAGUAUUUACAUUAUACUUGAAUUUUGGUUCUGUCCUGAGGUUUGGUGCAUUCUCCUUGAUUCUAAUAAAUUGGUGGUGGCUUAUCUAUCUUCUUCUACUUCUUGUUGGAAGGUCCAUUGUAACUUUUUGGUUAUUUAGGUUUGGAUUGCAUCAAGGGAUAUCCUGCAAUAUGGGGUUAUCUUUUAAUGAGAUACUGGGAUAGUAUAAUGGACUAGUUCAGCUCUGACAAACUAGUUUUUGAAGACUCAGGUCAACAAUGGGAAAUUAUGUGUUAUGUUUAUUUGAUUAGGGUGACACACUAGUACUAGGAAGCAAUAAAGAAGUUAUUGCAUCUUUGAAAAUGUUUUGUGUGUAUAAAUCAAGAAGCGACUGCGUUAAUUUGAACCACUAAAAGUAUGCAGAAAUCUAGUAAUCAAGCAUCGUUAGUCCUGUCCUGUGGCCCCUUUCUUUUCUGUCUCUUUAGCAUUAAGUAGAAUAAGAGAAUUGGAAUGAUAUAUAAGUGGCAGAACAGGGGCAGACAUCCCUACAAGGGCCUGUCCGGACUAAUCUAGCAUGUCUACCUAAUUUUAUCUUCCAGUUUAGCCCCCUGUGACUGGAUGGUCUUUUACCUAUAUUGACUGCUAUUAACAAGUCUGAAGAGAGAUUGUGUUAUAUCAUGUGUGUGCGUUUGCAUAUUGAGCAUUUAGCUUCCCUGCGAAUGCUUUUUCUUUUUCUUUUAAUUGUGUUUUCAACGAGAAUAGAUUUUGCCUCUUCUUGAUUUGCUUGUGUCUUGCGUGUUCUGCUUUAUUCUGCUUAGAUGUCACAGUUGAACUGCAUACCUUCUGAUGCAUGUAGAUAGAGAUUCCUCCCUUUCAAGUCGUCAUGUCAUUCUUCGCCUAAAUUGUGCUGAGAAUAGGAAUGAGAAGAAAAAAAAUCUCUAAACUACCUAGGUGCAGAGAAACAGCUUCAUAGGCUUAAAGCCGCUCCCACAGGUUCUGGUUCUGCAUUUUCUUGCCUCACCAACUCUCUCCCUCUCUCUUGCUUAGUUGCUUUUGAUUUUUCUUAUGUUUCUUCCAUUUGAUAAUGUAUGAUCAGAUAGAGCGUGAUCUCUUUUAGGCCGCGUACGAGUUCAUACUUUGAGAUGGAUGAGGAACUAGCUUGUUGCAGGUUGAUUGAGUUUAUAUAUUAGAUUAAUUAAGACUGCUUAAGAAAAAGAUUGAUGUUAACUUCGAUCAGGCUCAACUAAAAACAGUUUUUCAGUGUGAAGAAAGAUGCUUCUUUCUUUAAGGUGUCAUCCAAUGGCUAUACUAACAACUUUUUGGAAGCAGAUUUUAACUUGAAAGUCGAGACCCCUAACUUUUAUCCAUCUGGGAUUCCUGAUGGGCCAAUUUUGCACAUGUUCGAUUGCUCUGUGCAUGUAUUAUUGUUUCCUAAGCUACAAGGAAGAAAACAGAACUUUUUGUUACAAGCAGCUUCAUGGGAUAUCUUUAACAGCAAAAGAAUUAGUCUUUUGGAAUGGUUUAUUCUGUCAUCUCCCUCUUUUUGUAGUGGGGAAAAUGUGGGGUUUUCUUUCUGGUUGCAUUAUUUAACAAAUCAAGUCAAGCUUGCGAAGUGGAGGGAAGAAGAUUUAAGUUGAUUUUUUGCACAAUUCGUUGAAGCAAAGAUGCAAAAUAGAACAUGGAGGAGACAUUUAAAUUUGGCCGAGAGCGGAAAAUCAAGAUAACAAAAAGAAACUUGAACGUGCCAGGGGAAAAAAAAAUCACACUACUGCCUUUUGUUCUGCUCUUUGGCUUACUUUUGAAUCAAAGUGAUCAUUUUUGUCAAAGCUGAGGACUAAAGAACUUCAAUUCUCUCAAGUUGGGUUUUCUUUUCACACCCACGUGGGCAAAGACACUCAAUUCCUUGCCUCUCCUCAGUCCUCCCCCAAUCCCACACGAAUACAAAAGAAUUUCACACCAAAUAUGCAUACAAGGAUAACUUCCAAAACCCAAAAAAAAAAAAAAAAAAAAACACACGCACACACACACACAAGGAUAGUUGCCUAUACAGGGGAUUUUUCACAUUUUGUCACUAAGUUGUUGGGCAUAGAAAUCCCUCCUUGGAAGUUUAUCCAUGGCAACCGACCAUCUCUGAGAGUUUACGGGCCUAUUUGGUAAAUAAGUUUUUGAUCAAGUUCGUCUGCCACAAGUUUUUUAACAACUUUAGCUAUAGUAAUCUCAAGAAAUUUCUUAAAAAUUUUAAACUAUAUAUUUCAAAAUAUCUAAAAAUUUAUACAUUUCAAAAAUUUUACAAAUAACUCCUAUCGUAAAUUACAGUAAAAUUUUAGACAAACACCCAAAAAAUUUAUUUGACAAACGGCUUGGUUUCAAAGUUGUUGCCAACCUUUGCAUCUUUUAAGUCGAAAAGUGAAAAAGGCAAAGCAAAGCAAAGAUCCAAACUGUAGAUGCUGGAUAAAGAGGACACCCUAUGUUUCUUCAUACCGUGAACUUAGUGAGGUGACCGUCCCAGCUGUAUUUGAUUGAAUUCAACUUUUCAUCCAUUGUGAAUGGGAUCUUUUUCCAUUCCAUUUCAAUCUGUCUGAAACCCAAAUGAUUUUGCAUUGUUUUGCUAAUACACGUAUUUCUUGGUCCUGUUUAUCCUAGGACUAUUUUGCAUAUGCUGAUUUUCACGGACACCUAUUUGACAUAGAAAAAGCAGUUUAAACUGGAGCAAUCUUGAUUUUCAUGCUUGCUUAAUUUAAGCCUUAAAGCUUCAAACGUCAUCAAUGAUAUAAAUGUGAUUGGAAUCUUUUAAGAGAAAGGGUAACUAUUUUUUUGUCUGUAACGAUACAUAUGUAUAACCUACUCUAUCCUAAUAUAGGAUAACUUGAUAUUGUGUUCUUUGUUACAAGGUACAAAAGCAUCCUACCACCAACCUCCAUACUUUUAGCACAAAGGGAACUGAUUAAAGCACAACUAAAAGAAAAGAAAUUAGAAACUUUUUUUAUCAAGAACAGAACAGUUUGCUGAUUGGUCUGUGUUAGAGGCUAACGGUUACAGGAAAAACAAGCCAGCGGUCCUUGUUGCGGAGAACAAGUUUGAGGUCAAAGAGGGGACUGUGGGGCUCUGAAGUUGCAGGUGUGUGGGAACAAAUGGACAAACAGCAAGGCUGCCUCUGCCUUUUCUUUCUUGGGACCCCAAAAAUAAAAUUCUUCUGCUGCAUGCCAAUGCCGUAAUCAACUGCGCCGGAAAAUCAUUGCUCUUUUGAACUUCUCCAUUAGAAUUCACUGGCCAAACCAAAAGCACAUCUUGUGAUAAAUAUUCUCCCUGCGCUUCUCACCUUUUUGUUCCUGUGUUUUGUUCAUAUCCCAAUAAUGUCAAACGCAGCGUUAUACGUUAUGAAUUCUAUACUUCAUGUAGGGGAAAAAAAAAUUGUACUAGUAUCACUUGGUUAUCAUACAUGCACCUUUUGAUUCUCUAUUGCUAGAACUCGUGCAGAAGCAGAUCUCCUCCAUUCGAUUUGUCAAUUUUGAUAAACGUAUUUUAAUUGAAAUAUAUUUUUGAUAAUUUUUCUAUCUAGUCUAGAAGUUUGCUAUUACAAUUUUCAAAGUUUCUUUGCAUGUAUUCCUGUCUGCCAUAAGAUCUAACAAGAAGUCAAGAACUCAAUGACGGGUGAAUGUUGUAAUGAUUAUUCCUUUUGUAUGACAAGCACACUACUGUAAUUUUUAGAGUUGUAGACAUUUAUAAAAUAUUAAUGGUGUUCUAACAUAAAUGAAUAUCUCAAUAAUAUUAUCCUAUUCUUAUUCCAAAAUUUUAGAUACAUUCACUCCUAAAAAGAGAAUACUCUCAUGAUUUUUCGUUUAUGUUGUGUAAGUGAAAUUGAAAUUCACAGCGCUGUGACUGUUUGUCCAAAUUAAGGGCAUAGCUACAACCAUUAAGAGGUCAAGGGAUCUUUUCAAAGAGGGAUCAUAGUUUGGGGGCUUAAGUGAAUAUACCGAAAAGUGAAAAGUACAAAUAGCUUGAUUUUAUUAGUGAACCUUUGCCUUAUAGUCACACCGCAUCCUUACUAACAAGUCCAACUAGACAUACUAAAAGCAUCACUCAUUUUCACUUCAAAUUGGCUGAUGUCCUGAUGAAGAUAGAGCAAUCUUGGCAUCCAACUCUUACGAAAACAAUCCUUUUGUCUUGGUAACAGGAGAAAUCAUCUCUGGGAUUUUUGUGCGAUAUUUCAGAUUUACAGAAUCUUCAAACUCAGAGGCGUACCAGAAGAAGCAGGUUGGAUUCUAACUAUAAAUGCUUCACCUUGAGUACGUUGCAAUUUUCCUCAAUCAUUUUCACUUCUACUAGUUCCCGUUGAAACAUAUGCCUUAAACGCCAAGAUUCUUCUUUUUUCUUGUGCUUCUUUGUUGUUUUUACCGAGAUGGAUUAUUCAUUUGUCUACUUUUGAUGCCUCACUUCUACUUGCUUUUGUCGACUCUUUUUAUAUCAAGUGAGAGGAGCAAAUGCAUACUUUGCCAAGUUUCUAUGAAGUUGGAAGCUGUUCAGAGUCUUACAACUUCCUUCACGAAAUUUUGAACUCAAGAGAGCAACUGCACCUUGACAAUUCAACCGUUAAUGCCAUUUCAAUGGCUGAGGCAAAAGCAGUUGCAGCAAACAAGAGCCACAGUGAAGCUGAAAGGAGAAGAAGAAAGCGUAUCAAUGGUCAUCUUGCUACACUUCGCAACCUUCUUCCCAAAACCAUCAAAGUAAGUUUUGUUCAUUCAUCUAGUUGCUCUUUUUAUUGCCCUAUUCAACUUUUCCAUGUUCAAAAGACGACCCUCCAUUCUUCUUUUCUUGGUUAAUAAGUUUGAAAUGUAAUGAACAUAGGCAGACAAGGCAUCAUUGUUAGCUGAGGUUGUCCGGUGCAUAAGAGAGCUAAAGAAGUCAACAGAAGAACUCUCAGCUACAGAAGGUGAUGAUCAGUCCAACACAGCAAUGAAACUCAUGUUUCCUAGUGAAACUGAUGAACUCAAGUUAUGUUAUGAUGAUGGAGAUUCAAGGACUAUAAAGGCAACAUUAUGCUGCGAGGACCGACCGGAGAUGAUGAUAGAGUUAAAGAGGGCAUUAAACGCAGUAAAAGCUAAGGUGGUGAAGGCAGAAAUGGCAACAGUUGGGGGAAGAACAAAAACUGUGCUUUGGCUGCAAGCUUCAGCAGCUGGAGAAGAAGGGCUGGCGACAAUAAGGAGAGCACUGAAAGUGGUUGUAGACAGGUCUAUCAUGUUGCCUACUCCUGGCCAGGCUUUGCCGGGUAACAAGCGGCCUCGUCUCUAUCACUGCUGAAUAUAUGAGUUUAGGGUUUUGUAUUUUUUGAAUCUUGACGGUGCCACCUGUUUAAAAUGGUCCAUACUAAUGUUGGGGAUGGGGACCAAUGACCCCAUGGAAAUUGAAAAGUGAGCUAAGGUGAUCAUGGAUGAGGUAGGAGAAUUUGAAGUGUCAAUUUGGUAGAAGAUUUAUCCUAGUUAUGUAUGAAUGUCAAACUCCCAGCUGGUGCUAUGAAUCUAAAAAGUAGUACUGCCUGCGCUGCGAGAUCUUCAUUCGUGUUUCCUUUUAAUUUUAAUUGAGAAGCAAAAUUGCGAGCUCUGAGUGAAUUAUGAAAGGGGUAAAAGUUUAAAUUAUUUUGGUAGAAUUCUUCGUUUUGCAGGUUGUUUCUAAUGAUUCCUUGAGUUACUAACAUGUUCCUUUUUUUGAAGGGAAAAAAAAAAUUGUAACAGGGUUGAGCUAGUAAUGAUUUUCCUUUUUCUAAUCAAAAGUUUGACUUCGACUUAGAGUAAGAGAAAAGUGGGGUUGGGGGAGCCUAAUCACUGAUUUCUUGUUUUUGGACUUUAGAAUCCAAGGUAAUCAUUAACAUUUGCUCCUAUCAGACUAGACUAUACUGUUUCAGGCACAUGUUUUUAGCCUUUAGUAGUUUAAUCAUAUGAAACACUAGCUUAUCUUUUUCUCAAUUUUGGAGCAAAUGUAUUACCAAUUUCUAACUCUUAUUUGACCCGCGACUGCAGUCACUCCCUCUCAUUUGUUUGUUUAAAUUACGUAAGACCCACUCCAUGUUUUUUCUCAACCAAGCCAUACACAUACCUUCAUCAAGAAUGUUGUCCUAUGUUUGAAAUCAAUUGAGAAGUUGAACUAACAAUAGAAAUCCUCCAUUUCUUCACAACUACAUUUUAUCCAACUCUUUGAACUUUCCAAACACGCAAAAUCUAUAAUUCACUAUAAAUAGCCAAUGCAGUUCCAAUCAAUUCAUUCAACUCAAAACAAAAGAAAGUACAAACCCUUUUAGCCGCACUCUUUUUGUGCUUUUGAUCAAACAAUGGCUGCCUUGAACCAUUGUCUCCUUUUCUCCUUCACGGUAGCAUUCUGCUUCUCAAGCUUCCAAAUGAGUUUCGCAGCCCGCCACCUGCUGCAGGCACCAUUGAUUCCAACAAUGCCUACGAUCCCAUCGCUGCCUAAACCCGCUGGGUUGCCUCCAUUGCCUUCAAUUCCAAGCAUUCCUAAGGCAACAUUGCCACCUUUGCCAAGCAUCACAUUGCCUAAAAUCCCAGCCGCUGCUGCACCACUGCCAAAGCCCACUUUGCCAAGCACACCUCCGCUCCCAUCCUUGCCAAAACCCACUCUACCAUCUUUCCCAUCUGUUCCCAAGUUCACUCUACCUCCACUGCCAUCCAUUCCAAAAAUCCCCGUCCAAGCACCACCACCAUCUCACUAGUGCUGGAGACUCGAGUUCUUGCAUUUGGUUUCAUUACGCCAUAUUGGUAGAUUCAUGAGCUGUUCGGUUUGAUCUUAUGUUCAUGGCUUGGUGUAGUAUUUCUGUCGUUUUUACGCAUUGGUUACAUGUAUUUGUCCUUUGGCGAUUUGUAAACCAUUUCCAUUUCUGUAUUCAUCCAUUGUAUUCUUGGAGCGUUCGUGUGUUGUAGAUCUAUUUUAGGGUAUUAGUAAAAAUAACUUUUAUCUUCGUUUAUAUCAUCUUCAUUCUGUGGUUAUAAACCUGUUUAUUUUUUUUUUCAAAUGAAUUGUGAAUGUAGAUUAAAGAAUUAGUCUAAAUAAAAUUUGGAGGGCAUAUUCUAGCCUGACACUCUUCAUCAAUCAUCAAUCAGAGGGUUGUAACAUACGUUGGAAAUCGCCUCCACAAUAGGGUGAAAAAGGAAUGUUGAAUAAAUUUGAAUGCAAAAUGGGGCAAAUGCCAAGCGUUACUUGGGUACCUUAGUUGGAUUUGGUGCUUGACAAUUCCAUGUAAAACCUGCCAAAAACCAUGACCGCAUGCAGUAAACGGAAUCCCUAAUGUAUUACAAUUCAAUAAUAAUAAAAAUGAAAACAUAUGAAUUAUUGCAUAAUAAGUACAUGAUAAUUGUACAAUAAUUCAUAUGAAUUAUUAUAAACUCAUAUAUAGUGAAAUUUGAAUUUAAGAAUUUAAAGUCUUGAACCCUAAACCUUAGGUUGAAGACUCAUUUUCAUGUUAAUGGACGUCCCUCAACAUGAAUUAUCUUUAGCGUUGUUUGUAAUUUCUAAUGAAAAUCAAAUUUACGAAUCAAUAUUUUUUGAUAAACAAUAAGCUUGCUUGUUCUAUGCUGACCAGCUGUGCAUGUACUUGUAAACAUCAUAGCUAGCACUCUUAUAAACUUAAAAGAGCUUACCUUGUUUCUUCCGGUGAUUUACAGUUCUUUAAAACCUUUAAAAAAAAAAAGUGAAGUAAAUUUAACUUUUUUUUUUUUUUUUUUGGUGGGGUUGCAUGUCAACCGAAAUCCAAAUUCAGAUGACCUUUAGGUUGCAAACUUUUUCAUUGAAGGGGGGGAAGAAAGGGACCAAAUCCGUCAAUUGUUCUUCCAAUUGGGUCCCUUAAUAAUUUUGGAGGCCCAAAACCAAAAUGCUACGAAUUUUCUCUUUCGUAACACCAUGUUGUUUCAAAGCCGAUGUUCUUCCCAUUCCAUCUUGUCUUCCACUUUCAAGACCAAUUUGGCCUGAUUACAAGAACAAUAGCUGAAGAUUUGCUAAGAUAGGAACAAAAAUAGAUUGACAUUAUAAUUGCGAUUACGAAACUGUUGAAACUGGUUAAGAACAACUACUGAAGCGUUUUGAUUUGCAAUGAUAGGAGCAGAAAAAGAUUGACACUGAAUUUCUAUCGGCUAUUGAAAUGAUAGCUUUUCUAGGAAUAGGUUUAUUAUUGCUUCUCGAUUUACUUAUUUAUCAGCAUGAGAUCAUUGGAGACUAUUUAAUAAAUGAUAAUCAUCAUAAAAUCUCACAUUAAAUGUGUACGAUGAUGAUGGGUCCUGGCUAAUUUUCUUUACAAUUAAUUCGUGGUUUUUUAAGGGAUACAAAAACUAAGUUAUUAUAAGGAAAUAUAUAUAUAUUUACAUUAGUAUUGAGGAAAGAGAAUCACCCAUGACACAAAAAGAUGGGUUUAAAAUGGUUCCAUGCAUGCUAUUACUGGAAAGAGGUGUUAUGACACUAGAAUCAGCUUGUCAAAGACAAGUUGGUCGUUAAUAGAGAUUCAAAAUUUUAAUUUGGGGUAUAAGUUUGUAGUUUUAAUCUCAAACCUUGCAAUUAAAGAGGAUUUAGCGUAUGCUCUUUCCUUUCCUUCUUCUUCCUUAUAAGGUCAGAGUCUCCUUUGAAUCAAAGUAAAAAAACCAAUAAUCCAAUAACAGUAGUCUAAUAAUAUCCGAAAUGGACUAAGAAUCUGAAAUAAGCUCAAUUAUGAAUGAUGUAACCGUCCUUUCGAACAAGAAUUUUAAAUGAUUUUAGAAGGGCAAUGUAAAAAUGCUUUUUGAUUUUUUUUAAUGCCUUGGGAAAACCCCCCACUGUUCUCAUGGACAAAAUGUCCACUUCUUUUUUAUCUUGUUCUCCCCACUUUUCCAGUCGAAACAAUCAGACCCUAAUUCAGUACCUUUUUCAGUCCCCAAAUUCCCGGGGAAGUUUCUAAUCUACGGAGUUCUUCUUAGUCAGGAGACUCAUUAGAAUGGCGACACAUACAUUCAAAUCUAAGCAUCCUCUGCAUUUUAGUACAAGUACGAUGAAUGUAACAUGAUUCUUCGUUAAUUAUUCUCCAUCUAAGCAUAAGCCAAAUACCGACUCCCAGUGGCGGAUUUAAGGUACCUCCACUGCUCCCUUAAAUUUCCUAUAGUAUCCAUAAAAUUUUGAUAUAAUUUCAAAUGUACGUCGAGAGUUUUCUUAUGAAAGAAUUAUAUGGUCUUCUAAGUUGAUUUAUAAACUACUAUUUUAAAAAGAUAUGUGGGUCACAAAGUUUCAUUUGAAAUAAGGUGAAUAAAGGCUUUUCAUUUCAAUUUGUUGGUGAAUUUUUUUACUUAAAAAAUUAGAAAAAGAGUAGGUAAAAAAAAUUUUAGUGUUGCUUUUACCCUCACUGAGAAUUUUUUCUGGCUUCGUCAUUGCCGACUCUACCAUUGUUGGAGACUUGGAGUAUACAGGUGCCAGAGAGAAGUGAUGUUUAGUUGUUAACCUUUGUGAUCUCAUCAUAAGUCGAGAGGUAGUUGAUCAAAAUUCCCCUGUAGUAGCUUUGUCCAUGCGACUAAAGAUCCAAAUUGUUUGUUCAUUUGCCAGUUGCCACUUUGAUGUUUAUGUCAUUCCGCUGCAACAUCUGUUCUUCAGUUGGUGGAUGCUGUUAGGAACUUAGGAUUUAAUUAUCUCAGUCAAAAUUUUUGCAACUAAAAUCUAGUUGAGAAGGCAUACCAACCUAUACAUCUUCAAACUGGUCCAGCUACAUUUGAACUUAACCUUGUAGUGCUUCCUUUAGAAAGCAUAGUCUUCCCCUUUAAGCUGAUCAAAAUACACAAAAAAAUCGUACUACCUUGGAAACUCAAAGCGGAGCUUCAAUCUUCUGCAUCAAUCAAUCAGCAUGGCUUCUUCUUCUUUUUCUAACCUUUGCAUCUUUCUAUCUCUGAUCAUUGCUUUGUCAUUUCCAAGCAUUCAAGUAACAGACGCGGCUCGCCAGCUUUUACAAACCUCACAACCAACAAUACCGACGUUGCCCACCCUGCCAAACUUGCCCACCGGAGCAGCAGCAUUGCCACCAUUGCCAACCACUCCUCUGCCAACAUUACCCACAAAUGUUCCAUCCUUGCCAAAGCCCGCGUUGCCAACAGUUCCCACAAUUCCUCAGGGGGCCCUCCCUCCCAUACCAGCUGCAACUUCAUUGCCAAACAUCCCAUUCACAAUCCCUUCAAUCCCAACUAAUCUCCCAACGUCAAUUCCUUCAAUUCCUUUCUUCUCACCUCCACCAUCCAACUAGACCAUUUUCUACCUGAACUUGUUUCAAUCAUUGAAUAUGCCGUAUCUGUUGCUUCGUUGUGAUAGCCUAAUGAUUUCCAUAUAAUUGGGAAAUUUUCACAGUUACAAUGGUCCUUGUAGGGAUCCUAUGAAACAGAUGGAGUUUGGAUUAUAUUGUGAGUCCCUGUAUUGCACACUGCAGGUUGUAUUCCCAUUUCUAAUGUUAUGAAUCCUUUUAUAUUUAUACUAUCUAAGAGCAACAUCUUAAAUUUUUCUCUUUUUUUUUUGUAUUUGAUUUUUCUGGAAUUACGUGCUCUGUUAUUCUGCUAAUUCCAUUCCAUUUGAUGAUAUGUCUCUUGAAUUAUGAGUUGUGUUUCAAUGAUGGGAACAACAUUCGCGCCGAGUUGGUCCCCAUGUGGUAUUUGCCAAAAAUGACACGGAAACUUUAACAAAAAAAAAGUCAGAUCUACCAUGUAAUUUUAAGAAGGAACAAUUUUGCAUCUGCUAUAAUCUUAAUAUUUGUUGCUUCACUUCUGAGUUUCUGAGGAAAAAUAAUAACAAUGAUGGCCAAAUUGAACAGCCACGACCUUUUUCAAGUUGCAUUGCUUGCGAUUGGGAAAGCAACAGUUUGUAUUUACUUUCAGUUUUAAGAAUAUGGUGUAAUGAAGUCACUUCGAACUCAAUUAGUGAACAAUUCGAGCUCGGCGUGAAUUAAAGCACUUGAACUCAAAUUUGACAAACUCUCAGGUUGGGUUUCAUCACAUACAAAUGUUCAAGUUUGAACUCGUCCAUUUUUUUUUUUUCUCGAAUUCAUGAAAUUGUUCAAGCUCCAUCGGAACAACAUCGAAUUCGAGUUUUAAUUGAACAACCUUAUGAGUAGUUCAAUUGUGACGUUUGCAACCCUACUUUAAUAUAUAGGAAUACUUGUUAAUUGAUACCAGGGUUUCCUUCAGUUAGUAUCGUUUUGGUGCUACGUACGUACUAUUUAGAUUCAGUUUUAAGAGUUAUUAAUGAAUAGCAGCCAAUAAUAUAAAAGCAGCAUAAAUUACAACAGUUAUAAUAGCCUCUCAAAUGAUCAUGAAAUCAAAACAAAACCGCAUGAAUGAAAUCAAUACUGAUGGGGUUUAUGUUCUUGAAUUUUCUGUUCAUUUAAUUCCCUUCGCAUGAUAAUACAAAUAUGAUGAUUCUUGGGGAUAAAGUUCCCUAAUGUUUGAGAGGUUGGUCCGCUCAAAUAAAUAUUCCACGUGUCUGACUUUCGGAGAAGAGAACACUUGGCGAAGCCUGGAUUAAACCUUAUUUGUCCAAGUCAUUCCCAUUUCCAUUUCAUCCCCUAUAAAUUCACCCCGCCAUACAGAUCAGUUUCAUGCAAUCAAAACGUAAUUUCUGCUGAUCAGUUUCAAAACUGUGGAUUGCCAGAUGAUGGAGAAGGCUUCAAUCAAGUCCACUCUCUCAGUUGCUCUCUUCAUUCUUCUUCCAAUUUGUUAGUCUCUCUCUCUUGAUCUCUCAUUUACACUUGCACAGGACUAGAAUGUGUAUUGGUGAAGGGAUUCUUGCUUCAUAACUUGAAUUCACCGGUUGAAAAUCAUCACUUUAUUUCUUCUAUUAAAAGAUUGUUUCUUGUUCACAAAAAAGGAAAAAAAAAAAGAUAAACAGGCCCUUUGAUUGCAGUAUUAUCAUUCCCAAUGAUGGAAGUGAAAAUGGCAACGAGCAUCUCAAGAAAAUUUCAGAUAUUUGAAUGUGGAAAUCCUUGUAGCUCUGAUGCGGAUUGCAAAUGCACUGAUUUCUAUUGUGCUCCGAUCCCGGAUGUGAUGAUAAUGGUUAUUAUAUUCAAAUCAAUUUUGGCAAUCUUAAUUAACCAAGGUGGCCAACAAUAAUGGUAUCCCACUUUAUAUUUUACAUAUAUAUAUAUAUAUAUAUUUUUCUUAAUUAACUUUUUACUUUUAAAAAAUAUGAACUCCUAAAUUCUAUCUUAAUGACAAUCCAUUCGGUACUAGUUAAAUAUACCCUAUAUUAUUUUACAAGCCCAAAACCCAAAGCGCUAAUUUUCUACCUUUUUAAAAAAAAAAAAAGCCCCCCAUCCACUCGUCCAGGUCUUUUCCCAACGAGUACUCAGGCUGCUGGCCCUAAAUUACUAACUUCAAACUCACAACAAACGUUGGCAAAUGAUGAGUUAGUUGUAUUUAAAAAUGCAUGUUUUCUUAGCUACGUAAUUAUGGUAAUAUGCGUACAACGACUAUAUAUUUUGUUGUAACAUAUUUUUAAGAUUAUGAGAUGGUUGCGUUCCUUGUUGAAAGUGGCUUUCGAAGUUAUUUUAUAAUCAAUCAUGUUACCAAUUUUAAAAAUUUUGAAGUUUUUUUAAAAAUUUUUUUUUUUAGUGUAAAUAGAAGGAUUCACGUCAUCAUCCUAGUCUGGAGUUAGUUCAUCGACAUUUUUCUAUGCUGGCUUCUCACAACCACGUCCUGUCCAUCAAAAUCCUCUCAUCUAUUUCAGUUGUCAAAAAUGAGCAACUGGCAGGUCAUUCCAUAUCAUCAUAUAUACACAUUAUUUAUUUAUUCGGUGGACUUUUGUUGAUGAGAAUUCUGAACUUCGAAAAAGUGAAAUUGGUUGAGGUAGCAAACCAACCUGCAGUAAUUCUUCCAACUUGUCCAACUGCAUCUAGCCAACCAUUGCUCCCUAUAAAAAGCAUUACCUCCCCCUUCAACUCAGACAACAUACUAACACAUAUAUUUGGGAAUUCCCCUACAAAUUCAGUUUCGAGCUUCUUCCUUCUGCGGUAUUCAAUCCAAUGGCUACUUCUUCCAAUGUCUGCUUCUUUCUGUCUUUGCUCAUUGCUUUAUCAUUUUCGAGCAUCCAAGAAAGCCAGGCCGCUCGCCGACUAUUGCAAACUUCCCCACCAGUGAUACCAGCAAUACCAACAUUGCCUGGUACAACCAUGCCAAAUUUGCCUACCACAUUGCCACCAUUGUCAAGUACUCCUUUCCCAACAUUACCAACAAAUCUUCCAUCUUUGCCAACUAUGCCCACAGUUCCGAAGGUGGCCCUCCCUCCCAUUCCAGCUGCAACUUCGUUGCCAAAUAUUCCAUCCACAAUUCCUCCAAUCCCAACUAAUAUCCCAACUUCAUUUCCUUCAAUUCCUUUCUUCUCACCACCGCCAUCCAACUAGACCAUUUUAGAUAUUUGAAUGUUUGAGUUUGUCAUAUCUGUUGUUCCUUCAGAUCGCUUAUCAUACGAUUUCAUGUACAAGUAAUUUUUACAGUUUCAUUAGUCCGUCUGUAUAGCUAGGGAUCUUAUGAAGUAGACGGAGUUUGGUUUGUUUUUGAGAUUGUAUUGCGAUUGUUUAUGUUAUAACUAGUUCUUAAUUGAUACCAUGUAGGAGUUUCUUGUUUGUUGUUUCUUGAUACUUUCGUUUAUUUAUCUAUCUUUCGUUGGCUUGAGGCCUUAUAUUACACCUCUCGUUACACUUUAUUAUUCAACUUUUUAAAAUGACAUGCAUCCCCACAACACAUUAAUCAAAAGAACUUGGAUUCUUAUCCAUGAUUAUAUGCAACACAUCUCAAUCUAACUGUUUGUCUAAUAAGAAUAUAACAUAAAUCAGACGAUCUUUUUUAUUUUGUAAAUUACAUUCUCACCACUCAGCUAUCAUUCAUCAAAUGUAAAAUUUUAAUUUAAGGUCAAUUUUAGAAACCUUCCUUAAAUUUUUUAACGAUUUCAGGCAGUACUCUCUUGUAAUUUGGAUAAUUAAACCCACCUACAUUGCUAACUUCAAUUGAGUAUCAUAACCCUUUUCUAAGAUACAGGCUGUUUACAGAAGAAAAAACCAGAAAAUUAUUCACCCAAAUUCCCCAACACUCCCCGUCUUCUUGUCAGCACUAUUGUACUUUUAUCCAUUUUUACCACCAUCACUACCAUCAUUGCCAGAAGCAUGGCAAACAGAUGCUUCUCAAAUUACCUGCCCAAAAAAAAAAAAAUUUCGAAUGAGAUGCUGCAACACCACCCAAGCCAUAAUCUACCAGCCCAAAAACCUAAAAAAAAAAAACACACACACACACACACGAUAUGCUCCCUCUUUGCCAUCAAGCAUGUCUGCCCAAAUCCUUUGCUACUUUGGUUUCCUCAACCAAUAUACCUCAAUCCCUCCCCUCUCUCAAAUAACAUCUGAAAAGUAAUGGAGUCAGCUCCAGUCCCAAAGGGGUAUACUUCUUUCUUUAGUUAUUCAUGGUGGAAAUAUGCUGCUAAUCAAUGUCCACAAUAGUUAUAGACGACAGACAACCAAGCUAUGCUGGUUUCAGCAAUUUGAUACAGACGUCCAAAAAAUAAAACCAAAAAGUAUUAACAUGGAUAUAAUAAUUGCAAACUCCAAAUAACUAAAAUGUCAGCGUUUAGCCAAAUGUAUGAUCCCACACUUGGAUUCAAUAUAUAUAUAUAUAAAUAUUUAUUUAUUUAUUAGGUCGCUUGGUUUCAAUUUCUUCAAGCUUAUAUGAUCAUACACUUUGUUUGAGUUUCUUUAAGCUCUAUCUGACUUUGUUAUACGGUUAAAGGCUUAAUGCUUUGUCAGGAGCCUUAAGUUUGCCUGUUUAGGUACGUGGUUAUUGGAACUUUAGUUACUGUAGCCUAAAUUCCUUUUAGUAAAGAUUAAAUUAAUGGUGGGAUCGUAGUAGAAGUAAAAAAAAAAAAAAAAAAAAAAAAAGUCGCUGGACCAGGAGUAUAUUUUGUGGUAAGCACUUUUUGAUAUGUUUGUGUAUCAUAAAGUAUCAUCAAAUGUGGAAAUCUUAAUUACUCAUAUUCUGAGACCGAACAAACAAAAAAGAUAAUCUGAAUCAGAAACUUGUGCUUGUGAUUCGUGAACAUCCGUCAUCUUACUCUAUUAUUUUGGUCUCUAGCGGUUGUAUUACUCUUUGGUUUUGAUUUUAUCUGGUUGUACUUUUGUUCAAGCAGUGACUUGUUGAAACUGGCCAAUGAAUUGGGAAAAAAAAAAAAAUCAAAAGCGAAGCGGUUUGUUCAAUUUUCGUGUGUUUUCUUUACAUUAAAUUUAUUGACAUAUUAACAUUAUAUGGUUUCUUGUGGAUUAAGUUCCUAACGGGAGAUUCUGCCCGCUAUGGAAACUUUUAUAUUGUACCGAAUUUGAAAGACCUAUUUGGCAUAUUCUCGAUCAAACCUCAUUUGUCGAAUCCAUUUCCAGUUUGAGUUUAUCCCCUAUAAAUUCACCUGAAAUAGACUAGUUUCAUGCAUACAAAAAUUAGUUUCUACUGCUCAUCAACAACAGUGGAUACUAGAUGGAGAAGGCUUCAAUCAAGCCCGCUCUCUUAUUUGCUCUCUUCAUUCUUCCAAUUUGUGAGUUUCUCUAGGAUUCUUACCUCAGAACUUGAAGUCACGGGUUAAAAAUCCACACUUUUAUUUCCCCUACUAAAACAUUGUUCCUUUUCCAUUUAAAGAAAAAAGUACAGGUAAAAAGACCCUUUUUCAUCUAACAAAACCUUUUUUCCCCUAAUGUGAUUUAAUUGUAGUAUUAUCUUUUCCAGUGAUGAAAGCCAUGGAAGUGAAAGUCACUGGCAACAAGCAUCUCAAGAAAACUUCAGCAGGAUUGUGCAAUUCCUUGUGGCUCUGAUGCGGAUUGCACAUGCAUAGGUUUUAGUUGUGCUCUGACUCCCAUAGAGGGAUGUGACGAUAAUGGUAAUUGUAUUCAAGUUAGUCGUUGCCUGGACGAAAUUCAAGCAUUGUGGCAAACAAUAAGAGGCGUGUAAUACAAUUAUUUUAAAGGUUUUGUCUACUGGUUAUUGGUUUCUUUGGUAGUAAGAGUUUGUUUGUAAUAAAGAUAGUAGGAUGAGAUUUUUUUUUUAACGUAAAAAGAGAUUUUAUUGAAUAGAACAUGAAUGUACACAAGUGCAGAGGUAUUUGCUACACAAAAGUACGACUAAAACCAAUUAAGCUAUACAAUAGUACUGCUACAAUGAACUAAACUCCGAUUAUGCUAUCAACAUUUAAGAAAAAUCUCUUGGGGAAAUCCCAACUAAAACAAAAUAACUAGUUGUCUCUUGUACUCAAUACAUUCCUCCAUUAUGCCACAUAAUAGCGAAUCUCCUUCCAUAUAUAAUAUACAACUGCCUCUAGUGCCAACUUUUUUACUGUGUUUAUAAAACAUUCUUUCUUCCAAUGACAACUGAGCCAUUUAACUUCAGUAUUCCAUUCAUAAGUUCCGCGUAUUGCAAGCAGCAUUGCUGUAUUCUUGACCAAAUAUAAGUUGCAUACUCACAUUAAAAAAAGAGAUGAUUACAAGAUUCAUUUCCAGUAUAGCAUAAUACAUAUCUCAUUUCAGACAUAAUGCCCCACUUAACCAACCUGUCCUUUGUGCUUAAUUUGUUCUUACACAACAACUACAAGAUAAAUGAAUGUUUCGGAUAUAUUUUUUGAAGCACACAAGAUGAUGCCAAUAGACCUCAGUAGCGAAAUGGUUCAACACUUCAUUUGCAGAUUUGACAGAGAACAAAUCUAAUUUACUGGGCAGCUAUUUCACUAUAUUUGACAUUCCCUCGCUUAGUAACUAUCCAGAAGGAAAAAAUUGUGCAAAAUCAUCAACUUCAACAGGUCUCCUCCUACCAGCAGGGAUCUUCCACUCUCUAUUUUCAAUGAUAGAAAAAACCUUAGCUUGUGGCGUACUUCCAAACUAUCGCACCAUAUUGGGUCCAUAAGCUGUGAAGCAUGGCCCUCUAUGGUGCCAAUUAUCAUACCAAAGAAGUAUUUUCUCCACUUUUGAUCACUGAGACAAUAAAAGGCUGUAUAAUAGAUCUGAUUUGAAGGAGUUUAUGCCAAACCCAAGAACAAAAUUGAGGCAAUGAAAUAGACCAGAAACAUUUAUUUUUGAGUUUCACAAUGUGAACCCAAGCAAUCCAAAGAGAAUCCUUUUCAAGUGUUAUGUGCCAGAUACAUUUAAACAAUAAAGCCUUAUUCCAAUUAGUCAAAUUAGGUAAUCCAUGUUCUCCUUGUUUGAUAGUAGGAUGAGAUUGUUGGUGUGUUAGUUACUCAUUGUCAAUGUUUGGAUUUACUUCUGGUCUAGAUUGAACCAGAAGAUGUUCUCUUUCUAUUUAAUCAGUAUAGGCCAAAUCUUGGUAAUUUCUAUAUUUCUUGGUUCACAUAAAUGUUGUAUUGAGUUCGAUACCCAUGAUACGAGACUGACCUGCUGGAGUAAUGAUGGAUUGUAGAUUAUUUGUGAUCCAAGAUCAUCCAAAAAGCAAACUGAAACAACCUUAGUGGCCCAAAAUUUUUUUAAAAAAUAAUAAAACGAGGUUGCAAAUUUUCAGAUAAUAAAACAGAAAUGCUGAAAUUUGCUACUUCUCAGUCGAACAAGAUUGUUAAUUAACCUUAGAAGCCCAUAAUGCAAAUUGCCAAUUUUUUGAAACCCAUUCUUUCUAUGAACUUUUCCUAACUUGUACUCGCUCUUCCAAACUUGGAUUACCAAUUCAAAUUUGCGGUCUAAAUUCCAUCCCAGGUAGAACACAUGUACUUAUUAUUUACUUGGUAGAUUUUUUGUUGAGGAAUCUGAGUUUCUAAGAAGUGAAUUUAGUUGAGAAGGCAAACCAACCAAUGCUUCUUCAAACUUGUCCAACUACAUCUGACGAUUCUGACCAACCAUUGCUUCCUAUAAAAAGCAUCAUCUACCCGCUCAUCCCCUACGGAAUCAAUACAAAACAAAUUAAUCCCCUACGGAUUCAAUUUGAAGCUUCUACCUUCUGCAUUAAUCAAACAAGUGCUCAAAAUGACUACUUCUUCCAAUGUCUGCUUCUUUCUGUCUUUGCUCAUUGCUUUAUCAUUUUCGAGCAUCCAAGAAAGCCAGGCGGCUCGCCAACUAUUGCAAACUUCCCCACCAGUGAUACCAGCAAUACCAACAUUGCCUCGUACAACCCUGCCAAAUUUGCCUACCACAUUGCCACCAUUAUCAAGUAUUCCUUUGCCAACAUUACCGACAAAUCUUCCACCUUUGCCAAAGCCCACAUUGCCAACUAUGCCCACAGUUCCUAAGGUGGCCCUCCCUCCCAUUCCAGCUGCAACUUCAUUGCCAAACAUUCCAUCCACAAUUCCUUCUAUCCCAACUAAUAUCCCAACGUCAUUUCCUUCAAUUCCUUUCUUCUCUCCACCGCCAUCCAACUAGACCAUUUUAGACAUGAACACGAUUCAGUGUUUGAAUUUGCAUAUUUGUCGUUCCUUCAGAUUGCUUAUCGAUACGAUUUCUUGUACUUGAAAUUUUUACAGUUUCAUUAGUCCGUCUAGCUAGGGAUCUUAUGAAGUAGACGGAGUUUGGAUUUCAUGUAUUGUGCCUUGGAGAUUGUAUUCGGAUUGUUUAUGUUAUGAAUUAUGAUGAGCUCUCUGACACUAUGAACGAGCACUUUUUUACGUAUGUUUGUUUCUUUUGCCAACUCUAAACAUAACUUUAAGUCAUAGAUAUGAAUGUGGGAGACAAAAGUUUUUAGUUUUGAGUUUUGGGAUCUAUAGCAACCGUUAUACCAGAAUACAUCUACGCUUAAAAUGGUGUACUCCCAAAAAAAAAAAAAAGAAAGAAGUUUUGGGAUGGGCAUAAUGAAGAGUUUCAAUAUGUAAGUUCUAUCAUCUGCACAAAUAAAUUGGAAGCUCAUGAUGUGUUAAUGUACAGACAUUUGGGAAAAUGUUGCGGAAUUUGUGUUUUUUUUUAUUUGAAAGAAUGAAAAUUCUAUCCAAUAAAGACUACAUUCACUUCACAAAAAAAAAAAAAAAAAAAAAAAAGAUUAGAUUCACCAGCUGUCUAAACUUUCAACUUAAAAAAAAAAUUAAAAGUCUUUGAUGAUUAAUUACCUUAUUAAGUCUCUCUUGCCAAUAAAAUCUUGAUUUAGUAGUGAAACAACACUACUAAACCACUUGCAUUAAGAGCUGAAUUCAUCCGAACAACCCAAAAGAUUCGUUUUAAAGAGAUAAAUAACAUAUUUUGCAAAAAAAAAAAAAAAAAGUGAUGCCAUAGCAAAAGUGUGAAAAAUAAAGGGGUUACACGAACACCCUCCAUCAGAAAAUUAUUACACGAAUGAAAUCUAGGUAUGAAUCAGUGAUUCAUAAGAAAUGUGAGAUAACUUUCAACAGUUAGAAUAUCCAAUUAAAAUUUCAUUAAUAGUUGAUAAAAGACUUGUUAAAAAGUCCUGGAAAAACCUAUUUAUAAACUAUAAAAGUUUAACCUAAAAAGAAAACAAAACACACGAAAAACUCUAAAACAACUAAAAGAUGCGUUGCAGCCGUGAUGACCCUUCAGAUAUAUUUAGUAACACUAGAUUUUUUGUUUUUUUUUUGGGGUAGGUUCGGGUAACAUGAUUUUGCUUCUUAGCUAGAAGUGACGGGUUCAAAUCUAUAUUCAAAAAAAAAAAAAAAAAAAGGACUGGUAAAAAGGCUUUUCAUCUGACGAUUUUUUAUGGGAUUUAAUUGCAGUAUUGUCAUCGCCAAUGGUUCAAGGGAUGGACGUGAAAAUGGCCACAAUUAUCUCAAGAAAAUUACUUCAGACUGAAUGCGAAGUUCCCCUGCAGACGAUUGAACAUGCAGUAAUCACUCUUGUUGUUGACAACCCAAUAUGCGAAGAUGAUGAUGAUUGUGAUGCAGUAUUCCAAAAAAAAAAAAAAAAGUAUGCCAGCAGGUGUAGCCUCAAACCCUGAAGUGAUUGUUCGAGAUAAUUCAUGGUUGGAACUUGGAAUCGAAACGCGAGAUCUGCUUUCUCUACAUGAAAAAUCUAAAUAAAAUCCUCAAUUUCGACAUAGUUCAGAUAAAUGUUUGAUAAGUCAAUUGUUGUACUUUGCAUCUUGUGACCAAGUCUGUAAUGCAAAUAAUAGGAAAUAAACCAAAGUGCAUUGCAGUACAAGGGCUGCUCAUGUCUGUUUGUAGUUUAAUUUGAAUAUUUCGUGCAAGUUAUAUGUACGUUCUCGACAUUAUUUGCAUGGAAUGUCGCUCAUGCUUUAAUUUGACCUUUAAUCCCUUUCAUUUUUAUUACUUGCAGUAGUAUUAAUACAAGGACUUUUACUUCGACUAAAUAAUAGGAGAUCGAUUAGUAUGAAAUGAGAAGCUCUCAAGAUACAGAGGGAUACUUAUGUUUUGAUGCCAUGAAAUGUACCCCUACCUCUUUUUAAAUUCCAACCUUCCCUUAUUAUUAAAAAAAAAAUUUAAAAAAAUAGAAAAGUAAGCUGUUUUUUUUUUAAGAGGACAACUUCACAUCACAAAUACAGUUGAACUACUCUUUCUUUUUUUUUUUUUUUUUCCUUCUCCUCGUCAAGUGUUGGCCUCAGUAUCGCUGCUGUUGGAUUGGAUUUUUCUCUCAAGUUUCUCUCCUGUAUUGACCUUACCCCAUUUCAGACUCUGUGGGGGAAUUCUUAAUAACCAAGUGUACACUUGCACACCAUAAACUGUUGGUAGUUCAUCAGCAUUCUAAUUCCAAACUAAUUCCAAGUUUAGUUGAGAAAGGCCAACUAAACCUAAUUCUACUAAUCCAACUACAUUCGAUCAAACACUUUCACCUCUAUGGCUAUCUAUAAAUAAGAGUCAAGAAACAAUAUGCGAGUCCCUCAACUCGAAACCAGAAAAAUACCCAUCUUGUACUUGCCGUAACACUUAAAAAAGUGUUUGCUAAUUUCUGAAUUUCAAUACAGGAUCAUUUACCAAUGGCUACAUCUUCCAAAGUUUGCUUUGUUCUGUCCUUGAUCCUAGCUCUAUCAUUUUCAAGCAUCAAGGUUUCUAACGCAGCUCGCUACCUUCUGCAGACGACGCCAGGAAUACCUACAAUGCCAUCGUUGCCCAAGUUGCCUCCAUUGCCUACCAUGCCAAGCUUCCCUACAGCCACAUUGCCACCAAUGCCAGCUACCCCUUUGCCCACAUUACCCACAAAUCUUCCAUCACUGCCAAAGCCCACAUUUCCGCCAUUGCCAAGCACUCAGCUUCCAACUUUGCCUACCAUCCCUUCCAUUCCCUCUAUUCCUACUACAAUUCCUACUUUACCUUUCCCCUCACCACCACCAUCAAGCUAGACAUUGAAAACGAAGCACUUGGAUUAUUUAUCAUCAUCUCUUUACUGGGAAGUCUGGAAAUCCAUGAAGAUUAUCGAUCAUUUCUUUUUUUUUUUUUUUUUGGUGGCUCCAGCCAUAUUCGUAUGUUACUCGUACUAUGAUUGCGGCGUUGUAUCUUUGUUACUCAUACUAUGAUUGUAUUAUUGGAUAUCUGUUACUCAUACUAUGAUCGUAUUAUUUGAAACCUUUCUUUCACGGGGUCUGAGUAUCUGGUUAAGAUUUGACCGACAGCCAUCAGAAAUCUAAUCUCAACAACAUAAAAGCGGUUCUUUGGUUACAUUCUUUGAAUUAAUUGCUUUUUUUUCUGAAAGACGAAAAUAAAAUGCAAAUCUAAGGCUGUGAACGAAAACACUAAGGACUACUAUCACCGACAACUGUGUACUGGGGCAGUAGCAAUUCAGUCCCUUUUACAAUCCAAGCAUUCAGGUGCAACAUACUUGUCUAGAUUGAAAUCAGGCUUCAUGUGAAAGUUGAUGGAACUUCAUCUUGGAGACCCCAAAAAAGAGAGAGAGAGAGAGAGAGAGAUAGACAAGCAAAACAUGAGAGGAAUAUUACUUUUCAUGCACUUUUGUAGUCUGGAUGUAAAUCUUGUCAUCACAUCUUUGAUAAAUAUGCUGUUUAUAUCACAAUAGUGAAUUGAAAUAGAUUAAAAUUUUUUAUGUUUUUUGGUUUAAAUGAGAAUUUUGUUCACCAGUUAAUAUACACAAGCUGUGUGUUCAAGCAAUGACGAGUUUGGGUCCUCUUAAUUGUUGUAACUUCUAGAGCUGUUUGGUCGUAGUUGUGCAAGCAACUCAUUAACAUAAAAUAACUAUGUUGACCACUUCAACGAUUUUUAUAUAAUUCAUUAGGAUAUGGUACAUGUAUGUAUUGUGUGAUUUGAUAUUAUUAUCACAGUCGAUUUUUGUACUUUUUACAUAAUAUGAUAUGGUAUGCAUUUACACAAGUUAUUGCACUGAAUUUCUUACGAGAUGGAGUGCAAAAGAACAAAACGUACAGAAAAAAUAAAAUAUGGCUCACAUGUACAAUCACAUGAUGUAAACUUGCAUCAAAAAAUUAUGUAACAAAUACAGUAGUAUAGAACUGCACCUACCGCAAUGGUACUUGCAUCAUUUCCAUUUUAUCUGCAUCAGAAAGGAGCUACAAAAAAAUGCUAAACUAUUAUUAGCAAGUUUCGCAACUCAUCCAAAGAAAUCCAAACGGAUGUACAUCAUCCUUUGAAUUUUUGGUCUUAACUUUCCCAUUAUGGUAUGUGUGUGUUUGAAAAGUAAAAGCCGAAAACAAGAGGGGACUUUGAAGCAGCUGACGAGUUCCACGCAUGCAGUUGCUAAGAAAACCCCCCCAAUGUAGUGUUACCAUUGCGAAAUCAGUUUCCAGGUGUACAGCACUUUUGCUACCUGUCACCAUUUCAGCCCCUUCGCCAUGAAAUUUUUCCAAAUCAUAUCUCAAAAACUCAUCUAAAACCUGAGAAACCAUAAGUCCAGAUUGAGAAAAUGCCAAGAACCCACCGCACUGCAAUUUUCUACUGAUAAUCUAGACACCAACGUCAUAUUCUAAUCAAUGUAUCAAGCUCUUCAAGCACAUAUCAUGAAAUCCUUCUGGUUUCCUUCACUAUAAAUAGAGCUUGAAUGAACUAGUAUUUUCCUAACAUCUUCAGUAUCUCUUUUGUAAGCCAGAAAGCACAGGAAAAAUGAAGUCCAGAGCGUUUAUUUUGGUUGCACUUCUAUGUGCUCUAUUUCUUCUCGUUUCUUCCACUAUGGCUGUUGAUACACCCAAGGAUGGAACAAAGGGUAAGAAAAUACUAGUACCAAGUAGCUAUGCUUAUGUUUUUGCAAGAUUUCCAUCGGUCAUUAACUUGAUUUUCUUAUUUUUCAAUAGAAAUAUCAUACGAUCUCCGUAAAUGAAUAGUAUGGAUUAUAGGAUGAAUUACAAAUGUUUGCCUGGUUGACAAUUAUUGUUUGCAGAGGACAAGGCAAAGGAACCCGAACAAUAUGGAGGUCGGUGUCGUUAUGGCUGCUGUGGUCGUCGGGGCCCCUAUGGUUGUAGUAAGUGCUGCAGAACAGGUAAUAGUUGCACCAUUCAAAGAAACAGGAUUUAAAUGCGUGAACAGUAUUUGUAACUUAAAAAGUUGUGUUGUCCAUGUAGCUAAUGAAGCUGAAGCAACCCAAGUAAACGCUGACAUCAAUGGCAAUGAAGGCGGUGGACAUGGUGGUGGCGGCGGCUAUGGAGGUGGUGGCGGCGGACAUGGUGGUGGCGGCGGCUAUGGAGGUGGUGGUGGUGGCAGCGGAGGUGGUCAUGGUGGGGGAGGUGGUCAUGGUGGUGGAGGUGGAUAUGGUGGGCACUGCAGGUACGGCUGUUGUGGUGGCUAUGGCAAAUAUUGCAGGUGCUGCUACAACCCUGAAGAAGCUCAAGCUUUUGUACAAAAUGAGAACUGAGCCAAGCCAUAAAUCAAGGAAACUUCCAUGUACAAGUUUGCGUGAAUAACUACAUGGUUGAAUGUUGAUCUUAUGACAAAAAUAAAAUACUUAGUACAUGUGCUUCUGUGCUUAGCACAUAUGUAAGGAAUAAAAAGUUUCAGUCAUCAUUUGAUGAUGUGAAUUUCAACAAGUGUCCUUCAAUCCCAUGCCUGGAUUUUUUUUUUUUUUUUUUUUUUUAAAUUUGACAUCUGCUACUUGUCAUGUUUGUCUUUGCUCUUAACAUUUGCACUUGAAUGCUCCAGUCAAAAUUUAAGUAAAUUUGUGAAAUAAAUAAAAAUAG
RNAcentral lists this long non-coding RNA (40624 nucleotides) under Coffea arabica (coffee). Its description in RNAcentral is "long non-coding RNA (CARA_LNC004944)". The record is from RNAcentral. Lineage: Eukaryota; Viridiplantae; Streptophyta; Magnoliopsida; Gentianales; Rubiaceae.